Molecule: long non-coding RNA, 2169 nt
Organism: Globicephala melas (long-finned pilot whale)
Lineage: Eukaryota; Metazoa; Chordata; Mammalia; Artiodactyla; Delphinidae
Source: RefSeq, a predicted model, not a curated record
CAUUUCACUGCAUGGAGCCUGUGACUAUGUUACAUCAAUGGUAAAAGGGACUUUGCAGGUGUGAUUAAUGUAGGAUUUGAGAUAAGAAGAUUUGCCUGGGUUAUCCAGGUGGACCCAAUGUAAUCACUAACGUUCUUAUGAGAAGGAGGCAGGUGGGUCAAUUGGUAGUGGGAGCUAGGACUCAAAGCUGGAGUGGUUCUAGGAAGGAACAAGGAGCCAAGGAAUACAGGCAGCCUGGAAGAGCUGAAAAAGACAAAGAAACAAUUUUUCCCUGAAGCCUCAAGAGAGAAUGCUGCCCUAUUGACACCAUGAUUGGAAACUUCUGACCUUCAGAACUGCUUUAUUGGUCUCCUGAAGCAUGCUAGAAUGAAACUCCAAUCUAAGGGAUAAUAAGAGUGGCGAUUGAAGUUUGGCUUUCUCUUGAUAUGCAAAUUCCUGAGAUGGAGGAGACUUCCUGAAAAAGAACUGAGACUGAUAGCUUCUAGAAGCUAGGAGCACCAGUACCCCGCCCACCUCCCCAACUAAGAGCCACUAAGAAAAAGGGGCCCUCAGUCAACCUUAAAGAACUGGAUCCUACAAACAACUUGAGUGAGUUUGGAAGCAAAUUCUCCGAUACUCCAGAUAAGAACCCAGCCUGGUUGAGACCCUGAUUUUGGUCUUAUGAAAUUCUAAGCAGAAAAUUCUCAAGCCUGUCCGGACUUCUGACCUACAAAAAUAUUUUAUAAACGAGCUGCAGUGAACAUUUGUGUUCAAGAUUUUGUAUGGAUACAUGCCUUCAUUUUCAAUGGAUAAUACCAAGGAGUGGAUUGCCUGGAUCAUAUGAUAGAUACAUGAACUGAGGUUCUAAGAUGUUAAGGAACUUGAUCAUGUCACAUAUAGAAACCUGAAGAGCUGAAUAGAAUUGUAGACUUUACUGACUGACCAAGAAACCCAUCCUCAAAUUCAAAGGAGACUAACUUUUAUAGACAACGUUUCCUGGGCUCCUGCCUCUGACUCCAAGCUUCCUUCAGACAAUGGAAAGCAGAGACUUUCAGAAUGGCAGAGAUCUUGGACAUUUCUCAGACAUUGGCUUCCAGCCUCUACUGCCAAAGCUCCUUUUGGGGUGCUCCUCUUCUAUUGUUCCAGUUAUCCAAGGAUCUAAUGACACUAAUUUUUUUCCCAUUUUCCCCUUCAGCCUGGGUUAAUAAUAGCUCUCUACUCUUGCUAGUCAUUUGCAUGCUUCCCCAUUCCCUCAUAGUUUGUUUAAGUGUUUCAUAAAUAGCCCUUUUGCUAAACUACCUUUUGCUAUCCCUUUGAAUUUUUGGUCUGCCCUACCAAUUCCAGAAUAGCAUGGGUAUCAACAGACAAAGAUAAAGAAAAUAACUGUCUGAAAUAAUUUAAUUCACUAGUGGAAGAAAUAACAUAGUUCUUAAGUGAGCAUCUUUUCAGAUAUCUGAGGCUGCUGUGGUCAAGCUGAAAUUAGAGAGCUCAUUACCAAGUUGAAGGCUUUUCCAAAAGGCCUUAUCAUAGUUUAGUUAAAAGGUUGUAUUAUAUCUGUGAUAUGAAAUAUACUCAAAAAGCAAUUGAAAAACAGAUAAACCACUCUAUUAAAGACUUAAAAAAAGAAAAACAGAUCAGUAAACCUUUUACAUCUUUAGCACAGACAUAGGGUUAAAGGGUGUUGAAUGGGGAAAAUACUUAGAGAUGAUCUUAAAAGGCCAUGUGAAGACUCAGCCAAGGAGGAAUGACGAAAGAGGAAGUGACAGUAGGAGUAUGCUAAGUACAUAUUUCCCUGACCAGUUCUGAGAAUAACAUCAAGUAAAAAUUCAUUUGGAUUUAGAGGCUGCUCUCAACAGUAUCUAAACAACUUGAGGUUUCUGUCUUAAGUAUCAACAUGACAAUAUCUAGGUCAAAGGCAUAGUUUGUGAUUAAUAAACUGAAUUUUUACUUCAAAAAGACAAAUAUUCCCCAGCUGCUGCAAGAACAUCCUCAUCCCCUCAAGAAGGAAGAAAGAUUUCAUGACAUCGAUUGAGCAAUGACAGUGUGUGAAUGGUAAAGUUUGAUGUGGUAGUUAUAACCGACUGGUUGUUUGAAUUCCAUGGCUCCCAUGUAAUCUCUGUACAUAUAUAUAUAUAUAUAGUUUAAUACCUGUGAGCUUCUGUUUACUAAUAUACAAAAUAAAAAAUGAUA